RNAcentral lists this ribosomal RNA (119 nucleotides) under Pteropus alecto (black flying fox). The record is from RNAcentral. Lineage: Eukaryota; Metazoa; Chordata; Mammalia; Chiroptera; Pteropodidae.
UUCUACGACCAUGCCACCCCGAACAAGCCCGAUCCCGUCUGAUCUCAGAAGCUAAGCAGGGUCGGGCCUGGUUAGGACUUGGAUGGGAGACCACCUAGGAAGACCAGGUGCUGUAGGCC